This is a long non-coding RNA of Selaginella moellendorffii, 585 nucleotides long. RefSeq lists it as uncharacterized. NCBI's taxonomy places the organism in Eukaryota, Viridiplantae, Streptophyta, Lycopodiopsida, Selaginellales, Selaginellaceae. The record is from RefSeq and is a predicted model, not a curated record. The transcript has 2 exons.
UCGCGCGCUUGCAAUGGCGGGCGGCGCCGCUGCUCCUCCUCCAGCGCAGCAGGGCCGCAUUCUUUCCCUCGUCCAGGGAUGCGCCAGGGAUCAGUCUUUCGGAGGUAUAGCAGGAUUUCUUCUUUCCAGUGCUGGAAAUCGAAGUCCAUGGAGAGGGGCAAAGGUAGAACAGCUCUCAUGUCGCAACGGGAGCACGCAAGAUCGGAGCUGGAAACGAAGAAAGCGCGCAAGAAAUCCGCGGAGGAGGAGCUCAAGUGCCUCGAGGUGGACGCCACGAUCCAGUCGCGACAGGUGGAAAAUAUUGCCGAUUGAAAUAUCUCCUUUCUUUCGCAGACAAGACUGGAGAGCAAGCACCUGGAGAUUGCCAAUACGAGAUCACUGCUGGAAGAACUCAAGGUAGGAGAAUCUCUCAUGAAACUCUCUUGCUCUAAUCACCAUUGCGAUCGAUCAAUCGCAAGGAGGUGCAAGACAGAUCCAGGGACCAAUUCAUUCAAGACUUGCUUUAGCUGAAUGCUAUCAUUCGCCAGCUCUAUUGUUGCGAAUUGUGUGUGAAGCUUAUAAACAAUGUUAUGGGGGUUUAGUAAA